GAUGAACGCUGGCGGUGUGCUUAACACAUGCAAGUCGAGCGAUGAAGCCCAGCUUGCUGGGUGGAUUAGUGGCGAACGGGUGAGUAACACGUGAGUAACCUGCCCUUGACUCUGGGAUAAGCCUGGGAAACUGGGUCUAAUACUGGAUAUGACUUCUCAUCGCAUGGUGGGGGGUGGAAAGAUUUAUUGGUCUUGGAUGGACUCGCGGCCUAUCAGCUUGUUGGUGAGGUAAUGGCUCACCAAGGCGACGACGGGUAGCCGGCCUGAGAGGGUGACCGGCCACACUGGGACUGAGACACGGCCCAGACUCCUACGGGAGGCAGCAGUGGGGAAUAUUGCACAAUGGGCGCAAGCCUGAUGCAGCGACGCCGCGUGAGGGAUGACGGCCUUCGGGUUGUAAACCUCUUUCAGUAGGGAAGAAGCGAGAGUGACGGUACCUGCAGAAGAAGCGCCGGCUAACUACGUG
RNAcentral lists this ribosomal RNA (466 nucleotides) under uncultured bacterium. RNAcentral's name for it is "partial 16S ribosomal RNA". It matches the Rfam family "Bacterial small subunit ribosomal RNA", at positions 28 to 507 of the family's 1533-position model. The record is from RNAcentral.